UACGAAGGGGGCUAGCGUUGCUCGGAAUGACUGGGCGUAAAGGGCGCGUAGGCGGAUGGCACAGUCAGAUGUGAAAUUCCCGGGCUUAACCUGGGGGCUGCAUUUGAUACGUGUUGUCUUGAGUUCGGAAGAGGGUCGUGGAAUUCCCAGUGUAGAGGUGAAAUUCGUAGAUAUUGGGAAGAACACCGGUGGCGAAGGCGGCGACCUGGUCCGACACUGACGCUGAGGCGCGAAAGCCAGGGGAGCAAACGGG
RNAcentral lists this ribosomal RNA (253 nucleotides) under uncultured bacterium. RNAcentral's name for it is "partial 16S ribosomal RNA". It matches the Rfam family "Bacterial small subunit ribosomal RNA", at positions 524 to 776 of the family's 1533-position model. The record is from RNAcentral.